GUGGCGGACGGGUGAGUAACACGUGGGUAACCUGCCCUUAAGUGGGGGAUAACAUUUGGAAACAGAUGCUAAUACCGCAUAAAUCCAAGAACCGCAUGGUUCUUGGCUGAAAGAUGGCGUAAGCUAUCGCUUUUGGAUGGACCCGCGGCGUAUUAGCUAGUUGGUGAGGUAACGGCUCACCAAGGCAAUGAUACGUAGCCGAACUGAGAGGUUGAUCGGCCACAUUGGGACUGAGACACGGCCCAAACUCC
RNAcentral lists this ribosomal RNA (251 nucleotides) under uncultured Lactobacillus sp. RNAcentral's name for it is "partial 16S ribosomal RNA". It matches the Rfam family "Bacterial small subunit ribosomal RNA", at positions 95 to 339 of the family's 1533-position model. Lineage: Bacteria; Bacillati; Bacillota; Bacilli; Lactobacillales; Lactobacillaceae. The record is from RNAcentral.